GAUGAACGCUGACAGAAUGCUUAACACAUGCAAGUCAACUGUGGCGGACGGGUGAGUAACGCGUAAAGAACUUGCCUCACAGAUAGGGACAACAAUUGGAAACGAAUGCUAAUACCAGAUACUGUGAGAGAGCUUUGCGUCCCAUUAGCUAGUUGGAGAGGUAACGGCUCACCAAGGCGAUGAUGGGUAGCCGGCCUGAGAGGGUGAUCGGCCACAAGGGGACUGAGACACGGCCCUUACUCCUACGGGAGGCAGCAGUGGGGAUUAUUGGGCAAUGGACCAAAGUCUGAUCCAGCCAUUCUGUGUGCACGAUGAAGUUUUCGGAAUGUAAAGUGCUUUCAGUUGGGGAGCGGUACCAACAGAAGAAGUGACGGCUAAAUACGUGCCAGCAGCCGCGGUAAUAC
Molecule: ribosomal RNA, 404 nt
Filed under: uncultured bacterium
Lineage: Bacteria
Description: partial 16S ribosomal RNA
Rfam family: Bacterial small subunit ribosomal RNA
Source: RNAcentral